UUCACCACUCAGAAAAGCUUUUUAUUAAGAAUAAAACAGAAACCCGUCCAAUGCCAAGUUUAGAAUCUUUUCCUUGCGCCUGUCCCAGCCCUGUUCUGAUACGUGCUGGAAAGGCCAUGCUUAAGCUCCGGGGCGGCGCAGGGGCUCCCGAAGCAGGGUGGCCAGGCUGGCGGUGGGGCACAGGGCCAGGGGGUCCCAGCAGGGCUGGGGGUCCCCACCUCAGCCCAGGACAGCUGGCGGGGCCGGGGCACAGGUCCCAGCGCUGCACAAGGAGGCGGCAACCUCGUACCGAGUGUCUCUAGAAACGGUUAGAAAAAAUACAAGGAAAUGAAUUUAUAAAACCUUUUAGUGGUGGAAAGGAGGAGGGGGAAGAAGAAGGAGAGAGAAAUUGCACUAUGACCAAGCAAUAUAAUUAAAAAAAACAAAACAAAAGAAGACAAAACAAAAGGAUUUCCAAAAGAGACCUUGCGGGAUUGGACAGAUAAAGCUAGUGUUAAAUUGUUAACUUGUAUCACACAGAGAAUCAAAAACAAACAAACAAAAAAAUUUCUAUAUGAUACAGACAGAGUAACAUACAACAGUUAAAUGGCAAAAAAUAUAUAUAUAUAUUUCAUAGAAUUACAAACAAGAUAAAAUAAUGGAAAACAAAAACUGUACAACUUUAGAAUUUAAAAAAUGUUCAUCUCAAACACAGGGAGAAAUACAAGAACUUUUGUUAAAAGAAAAGAGUUUGUUAAAACAGCGAACGCUUUUUGUGUACUUGUUUCCGUUUUUGACACCUUAUGCUACAACUGGGUACUGGUAGGAAUAUCAGAUGGUACUCACUUUAGUAUUGUCUACUUAAAAAACAAUUAAAAAAGGAAUUUGCACUGUGCAUUAGCCUAGUUAGAAAUAUGUACAACAGUUCAGGAUCUAGUCAUUCAUCAAACUAAAACCAAAACUCCAUAAAAAUAAAAGCGUCCCGCUAGAAAAUGAACCCCAUGUUCGUCUCUCCAAUGCUCCAGUCUCUCGCAGGGUCGACGAGCGGCUUCAGCACAGGGAGGAGAAGUCAAGGCGGCGGGAGGAACCUGCGUUCACAGUCUUCGAAGUUCCUUUUUGAAGCAGGAGGAAGAUGAAGAUGAUGGGGAGAAGGCUCUCGCGCUUUCGGGGUGGAGGAAACAGGGGGCGGGGUGGGAGAAAGGAGAUUGUUUCUGUUGACAUUUGGCUACGGGAGUGAAACAACAUCUAUUUGUCUCCAAAACCUACAUUUUAGCAGCACAAAGUUUUCCUUUCAAAGUCCGGACCGUACAAGACGCGUGCGAGCGUCCAUGCAUUCCAUGAGCAGGGCAUGGAGCAGGACGGGGACACCAGUGCCCGCCACGGGAGGGAACUUGGAAAGAGAAACCUGCCUUUUGGUGCACUGGGGUUUCGCUAAAAGUUGUCUCUCUGCUUGCAGAAGAAGCACAGAUAACAACCUGGGUACUUUUUUUAUUCUUUAUUUAAACUUAGACUUGUUUGUUUAAAUCAGAAACAAAUUCUCAAGUAAAAAGAAUCCUUUUUGCUCAUUCUGCACCAGUGGUGAAAGGGUAUGUCUUUGGAUUUUAUUUAAAGCAUGAAUUUUCUUUAGAGAAAAAAAAUGUAACAAAAACUUCUUUUAAAAGAAGGAACAGAGUGCAGCCUAAUUACACAAACAGAAACAAAUGCUUAUAGUUUAGGAACAGAGUCUUUGAAGCAUUUACAAAAUGAGGAAAAAAAGAAGGGAAGAAGAAGAAAAAAAAAAGGAAAAAUAGA
RNAcentral lists this long non-coding RNA (1770 nucleotides) under Strigops habroptila (Kakapo). Its description in RNAcentral is "lncRNA (ENSSHBG00005000159.1)". Lineage: Eukaryota; Metazoa; Chordata; Aves; Psittaciformes; Psittacidae. The record is from RNAcentral.